RNAcentral lists this ribosomal RNA (199 nucleotides) under uncultured fungus. RNAcentral describes it as "partial small subunit ribosomal RNA". The stretch from base 82 to 199 matches the Rfam family "Eukaryotic small subunit ribosomal RNA", at positions 747 to 864 of the family's 1831-position model. Lineage: Eukaryota; Fungi. The record is from RNAcentral.
GAAUGCGUGUGCCACUACUCGCUUAACGGCGUGGUUGGGUGUGCGCUUCCUAGCUUGUGGUAGUGAGUUAAAUCACUCCUCAUCAUUUACUUUGAAAAAAUUAGAGUGUUCAAAGCAGGCGUCUAGCCAUUGAAUAUUACAGCAUGGGAUAAUAGAAUAUGACGUUGGUCUUAUUUUGUUGGUUUCUAAGGCUGAUGUA